UACGUAGGGUGCGAGCGUUGUCCGGAAUUACUGGGCGUAAAGAGCUCGUAGGUGGUUUGUCGCGUUGUUCGUGAAAACUCACAACUCAAUUGUGGGCGUGCGGGCGAUACGGGCAGACUGGAGUACUGCAGGGGAGACUGGAAUUCCUGGUGUAGCGGUGGAAUGCGCAGAUAUCAGGAGGAACACCUGCGGCGAAGGCGGGUUGCUGGGCCGACACUGACGCUGAGGCGCGAAAGCUAGGGGAGCGAACGGG
This 253-nucleotide ribosomal RNA is filed under the name uncultured bacterium. RNAcentral describes it as "partial 16S ribosomal RNA". It matches the Rfam family "Bacterial small subunit ribosomal RNA", at positions 524 to 776 of the family's 1533-position model. The record is from RNAcentral.